CGGUAGUAUUUUUUUUAAAAACCUAUAUAGUUUGGCGGCAUUAUAUCUUAUUAGAGGAAUAUGUCUUUUAAUCGACACUACACGGUAUAUUUCACUUAUUUAAAAAUUUUAUAUACCGCCGUAUAAAUCUAGAUAAAAAUCUUAAAUUAUAAUAAUAUUAUUUAAAUAUAGGUAAAGGUGUAGACUAUAAAUAAGCUAAGAUGUAUUACAUUAAACCUCAUUUAAGGAAAAUAAACAAAAGAAUAUUAAUAAAAAGGAUUUAAUAGUAAUAUUAUAAUUAAUAUAAUAAUAAUAAUAAAAUAUGAAUAAGAAAAUAAAUGUGC
RNAcentral lists this ribosomal RNA (323 nucleotides) under Metellina segmentata (autumn spider). Its description in RNAcentral is "partial 12S ribosomal RNA". The record is from RNAcentral. Lineage: Eukaryota; Metazoa; Arthropoda; Arachnida; Araneae; Tetragnathidae.